UACGGGGGGGGCAAGCGUUGUUCGGAAUUACUGGGCGUAAAGGGCUCGUAGGCGGCCAACUAAGUCGGAUGUGAAAUCCCCAGGCUCAACUUGGGAACUGCAUCCGAUACUGGAUGGCUUGAAUUCGGGAGAGGGAUGCAGAAUUCCAGGUGUAGCGGUGAAAUGCGUAGAUAUCUGGAGGAAUACCGGUGGCGAAGGCGGCAUCCUGGACCGACAUUGACGCUGAGGCGCGAAAGCUAGGGGAGCAAACGGG
RNAcentral lists this ribosomal RNA (253 nucleotides) under uncultured bacterium. RNAcentral describes it as "partial 16S ribosomal RNA". It matches the Rfam family "Bacterial small subunit ribosomal RNA", at positions 524 to 776 of the family's 1533-position model. The record is from RNAcentral.